UUGCUUUGUCCUAAGUUAAAUUUGUCCAUAUUUGAUUAAGUUUAAAAAAUAUAAUAACAACUAUAUCACCAAACAUAUGCACUAUCAAAACAUAUUUCAUGGUGAAUUCAAUUAAACAAAUUUGAUAUAUUAGAUGUUGUUAUAUUUUUUUAUAAACUUAGUCAAAAUUUGGACAAGUUUGACUUAGGACAAAGCAAG
Molecule: microRNA precursor, 198 nt
Filed under: Dichanthelium oligosanthes
Lineage: Eukaryota; Viridiplantae; Streptophyta; Magnoliopsida; Poales; Poaceae
Description: MIR1435 microRNA precursor family
Rfam family: MIR1435 microRNA precursor family
Source: Rfam by way of RNAcentral